UACGUAGGGUGCGAGCGUUAAUCGGAAUUACUGGGCGUAAAGCGUGCGCAGGCGGUUUUGCAAGCCGGAUGUGAAAUCCCCGGGCUUAACCUGGGAAUGGCAUUUGGGACUGCAAGGCUGGAGUCCGGAAGAGGCGAGUGGAAUUCCUGGUGUAGCGGUGGAAUGCGCAGAUAUCAGGAGGAACACCGAUGGCGAAGGCAGCUCGCUGGGACGGUACUGACGCUGAGGCGCGAAAGCGUGGGGAGCGAACAGG
This 253-nucleotide ribosomal RNA is filed under the name uncultured bacterium. RNAcentral's name for it is "partial 16S ribosomal RNA". It matches the Rfam family "Bacterial small subunit ribosomal RNA", at positions 524 to 776 of the family's 1533-position model. The record is from RNAcentral.